Molecule: ribosomal RNA, 387 nt
Filed under: uncultured bacterium
Lineage: Bacteria
Description: bacterial SSU rRNA
Rfam family: Bacterial small subunit ribosomal RNA
Source: RNAcentral
GACGAACGCUGGCGGCGUGCUUAACACAUGCAAGUCGAGCGGUAAGGCCCUUUCGGGGGUACACGGGCGGCGAACGGGUGAGUAACACGUGGGUGACCUGCCCUCAGCUCUGGGAUAAGCCUGGGAAACCGGGUCUAAUACCGGAUAUGACUCCAUGACGCAUGUUGUGGGGUGGAAAGCCUUGUGCGGCUGAGGAUGGGCCCGCGGCCUAUCAGCUUGUUGGUGGGGUGAUGGCCACCAAGGCGACGACGGGUAGCCGGCCUGAGAGGGCGACCGGCCACACUGGGACUGAGACACGGCCCAGACUCCUACGGGAGGCAGCAGUGGGGAAUCUUGCGCAAUGGGCGAAAGCCUGACGCAGCGACGCCGCGUGAGGGAUGACGGCCU